GUCCUCUCCACCGUAAGCCCCGUGAAAUAACUUCUGUUCCUGGCUGCCACAUGAUGACUGACCAAGAUCUCCAGGAUACACUUUGAUGAGGAAACCUCAGAAAGGUCUUGCCUUGGUUUGCUCACUCAGCUACCACGCAUUGAGCUUAUCCUAAAUGGUAAGCAGGAAACCAGAACUACCGACUGGGGUUUUCCAC
Molecule: long non-coding RNA, 196 nt
Filed under: Mustela putorius furo (domestic ferret)
Lineage: Eukaryota; Metazoa; Chordata; Mammalia; Carnivora; Mustelidae
Description: lncRNA (ENSMPUG00000026978.1)
Source: RNAcentral